AACGAACGCUGGCGGCAUGCCUAACACAUGCAAGUCGAACGAGACCUUCGGGUCUAGUGGCGCACGGGUGCGUAACGCGUGGGAACCUGCCCUUAGGUUCGGAAUAACUCCCCGAAAGGGGUGCUAAUACCGGAUAAUGUCUUCGGACCAAAGAUUUAUCGCCUUUGGAUGGGCCCGCGUUGGAUUAGCUAGUUGGUAGGGUAAAAGCCUACCAAGGCGACGAUCCAUAGCUGGUCUGAGAGGAUGAUCAGCCACACUGGGACUGAGACACGGCCCAGACGCCUACGGGAGGCAGCAGUGGGGAAUAUUGGACAAUGGGCGAAAGCCUGAUCCAGCAAUGCCGCGUGAGUGAUGAAGGCCUUAGGGUUGUAAAGCUCUUUUACCCGGGAUGAUAAUGACAGAACCGGGAGAAGAAGCUCCGGCUAACUCCGG
This 432-nucleotide ribosomal RNA is filed under the name uncultured bacterium. RNAcentral's name for it is "partial 16S ribosomal RNA". It matches the Rfam family "Bacterial small subunit ribosomal RNA", at positions 29 to 506 of the family's 1533-position model. The record is from RNAcentral.